RNAcentral lists this ribosomal RNA (253 nucleotides) under uncultured bacterium. Its description in RNAcentral is "partial 16S ribosomal RNA". It matches the Rfam family "Bacterial small subunit ribosomal RNA", at positions 524 to 776 of the family's 1533-position model. The record is from RNAcentral.
UACGAAGGGGGCUAGCGUUGUUCGGAAUUACUGGGCGUAAAGCGCACGUAGGCGGGUUUGUAAGUAGGGGGUGAAAUCCCAGAGCUCAACUCUGGAACUGCCUUCUAAACUGCAAGCCUGGAGGUCAGGAGAGGCGAGUGGAAUACCGAGUGUAGAGGUGAAAUUCGUAGAUAUUCGGUGGAACACCAGUGGCGAAGGCGGCUGACUGGUCCGGAUCUGACGCUGAGGCGCGAAAGCGUGGGGAGCAAACAGG